RNAcentral lists this ribosomal RNA (682 nucleotides) under Streptomyces coelicoflavus. RNAcentral describes it as "bacterial SSU rRNA". It matches the Rfam family "Bacterial small subunit ribosomal RNA", at positions 53 to 749 of the family's 1533-position model. The record is from RNAcentral. Lineage: Bacteria; Bacillati; Actinomycetota; Actinomycetes; Kitasatosporales; Streptomycetaceae.
ACCAUGCAGUCGAACGAUGAACCACCUUCGGGUGGGGAUUAGUGGCGAACGGGUGAGUAACACGUGGGCAAUCUGCCCUGCACUCUGGGACAAGCCCUGGAAACGGGGUCUAAUACCGGAUACUGACCUGCCAAGGCAUCUUGGCGGGUCGAAAGCUCCGGCGGUGCAGGAUGAGCCCGCGGCCUAUCAGCUUGUUGGUGAGGUAAUGGCUCACCAAGGCGACGACGGGUAGCCGGCCUGAGAGGGCGACCGGCCACACUGGGACUGAGACACGGCCCAGACUCCUACGGGAGGCAGCAGUGGGGAAUAUUGCACAAUGGGCGAAAGCCUGAUGCAGCGACGCCGCGUGAGGGAUGACGGCCUUCGGGUUGUAAACCUCUUUCAGCAGGGAAGAAGCGAAAGUGACGGUACCUGCAGAAGAAGCGCCGGCUAACUACGUGCCAGCAGCCGCGGUAAUACGUAGGGCGCAAGCGUUGUCCGGAAUUAUUGGGCGUAAAGAGCUCGUAGGCGGCUUGUCGCGUCGGUUGUGAAAGCCCGGGGCUUAACCCCGGGUCUGCAGUCGAUACGGGCAGGCUAGAGUUCGGUAGGGGAGAUCGGAAUUCCUGGUGUAGCGGUGAAAUGCGCAGAUAUCAGGAGGAACACCGGUGGCGAAGGCGGAUCUCUGGGCCGAUACUGACGCUGA